GACGAACGCUGGCGGCGUGCUUAACACAUGCAAGUCGAGCGGUAAGGCCCUUUCGGGGGUACACGAGCGGCGAACGGGUGAGUAACACGUGGGUGACCUGCCCUCAGCUCUGGGAUAAGCCUGGGAAACCGGGUCUAAUACUGGAUAUGACUCCAUGACGCAUGUUGUGGGGUGGAAAGCCUUGUGCGGCUGAGGAUGGGCCCGCGGCCUAUCAGCUUGUUGGUGUGGUGAUGGCCUACCAAGGCGACGACGGGUAGCCGGCCUGAGAGGGCGACCGGCCACACUGGGACUGAGACACGGCCCAGACUCCGUACGGGAGGCGAGCAGUGGGGAAUCUUGCGCAAUGGGCGAAAGCCUGACGCAGCGACGCCGCGUGAGGGAUGACGG
RNAcentral lists this ribosomal RNA (387 nucleotides) under uncultured bacterium. RNAcentral's name for it is "bacterial SSU rRNA". It matches the Rfam family "Bacterial small subunit ribosomal RNA", at positions 28 to 414 of the family's 1533-position model. The record is from RNAcentral.